RNAcentral lists this ribosomal RNA (426 nucleotides) under grassland soil clone sl1_107. RNAcentral's name for it is "bacterial SSU rRNA". It matches the Rfam family "Bacterial small subunit ribosomal RNA", at positions 50 to 490 of the family's 1533-position model. The record is from RNAcentral.
AACACAUGCAAGUCGAACGAUGAAGAAGAGCUUGCUCUUUGGAUUAGUGGCGAACGGGUGAGUAACACGUGAGCAAUCUGCCCUUGACUCUGGGAUAAGCGUUGGAAACGACGUCUAAUACCGGAUACGACCCUCGGAGGCAUCUCCUGGGGUGGAAAGAAUUUUGGUCAAGGAUGAGCUCGCGGCCUAUCAGCUAGUUGGUGAGGUAAUGGCUCACCAAGGCGACGACGGGUAGCCGGCCUGAGAGGGUGACCGGCCACACUGGGACUGAGACACGGCCCAGACUCCUACGGGAGGCAGCAGUGGGGAAUAUUGCACAAUGGGCGAAAGCCUGAUGCAGCAACGCCGCGUGAGGGACGACGGCCUUCGGGUUGUAAACCUCUUUUAGUAGGGAAGAAGCGAAAGUGACGGUACCUGCAGAAAAAG